AGAGUUUGAUCAUGGCUCAGAACGAACGUUGGCGGCGUGGAUUAGGCAUGCAAGUCGAACGAGAACCCGGGGGCAACUCUGGGGGAAAGUGGCGAAAGGGGCAGUAAUGCGUGGGUAACCUACCCCCGGGACGGGGAUAGCCAUCCUAACGGAUGGGUAAUACCCGGCGAAGUAGCGAAGGCGCCUGUCUUUGUUACAAA
Molecule: ribosomal RNA, 200 nt
Filed under: uncultured bacterium
Lineage: Bacteria
Description: partial 16S ribosomal RNA
Rfam family: Bacterial small subunit ribosomal RNA
Source: RNAcentral